RNAcentral lists this ribosomal RNA (254 nucleotides) under uncultured bacterium. RNAcentral describes it as "partial 16S ribosomal RNA". It matches the Rfam family "Bacterial small subunit ribosomal RNA", at positions 524 to 776 of the family's 1533-position model. The record is from RNAcentral.
UACGGGGGGGGCAAGCGUUGUUCGGAAUUACUGGGCGUAAAGGGCUCGUAGGCGGCCAACUAAGUCGGAUGUGAAAUCCCCAGGCUUAACCUGGGAACUGCAUCCGAUACUGGAUGGCUUGAAUCCGGGAGAGGGAUGCAGAAUUCCAGGUGUAGCGGUGAAAUGCGUAGAUAUCUGGAGGAAUACCGGGGGCGAAGGCGGCAUCCUGGACCGGCAUUGACGCUGAGUGAGCGAAAGCCAGGGGAGCAAACGGG